This is a long non-coding RNA of Topomyia yanbarensis, 518 nucleotides long. RefSeq lists it as uncharacterized. The transcript is spliced from 3 exons. Lineage: Eukaryota; Metazoa; Arthropoda; Insecta; Diptera; Culicidae. The record is from RefSeq and is a predicted model, not a curated record.
CUUCAUCCCACCCCGGGCAGCAGAUGAGCGCUGGCGAAUGUUCUCAGCCACCUGGAGGAGGAGGUUCAGCGCGGAAGAAAUGUUACCAGAUUUCGCCGAUCUGGUGCCUGGACUUUUUUGGUAAUCUCAGAGAUUGGGUGUGCAGAAGGGCGGUUGGAGUUCUGGGAAGGAACGACUGGUAACUUUAAGGGUAUAUAUGACAAAAACACCCACAACAAUGGGGUAACGAACAUAAAGCUCGCCGGUGACAAAGUGAUAGUCGCACGGUUGAGUGGACGAAUCGAUUCUCUGAGACUGGAAACGUACACGCAAGGUUGUCAGAUCGAUUGGGGAUUUACGUCUGCAUAUGGGCGAACUCACGUACGCACCGGUUCGGCAGGAAGCAUUAGUUUAUUUCAGCAAUCCGUCCACAACGUUGCCAGCUCAAUAUAACGCAUCCGAGGAGGAGCUUCGAUGUAUCUUGGAGUUUCACCAGCAGGGUCACCGGUGACAUGUUUGGAGGUGGCGGGCGGUACAGU